This 497-nucleotide ribosomal RNA is filed under the name uncultured bacterium. RNAcentral's name for it is "partial 16S ribosomal RNA". It matches the Rfam family "Bacterial small subunit ribosomal RNA", at positions 28 to 507 of the family's 1533-position model. The record is from RNAcentral.
GAUGAACGCUGGCGGCGUGCCUAAUACAUGCAAGUCGAGCGAACAGACGAGGAGCUUGCUCCUCUGACGUUAGCGGCGGACGGGUGAGUAACACGUGGAUAACCUACCUAUAAGACUGGGAUAACUUCGGGAAACCGGAGCUAAUACCGGAUAAUAUAUUGAACCGCAUGGUUCAAUAGUGAAAGACGGUUUUGCUGUCACUUAUAGAUGGAUCCGCGCCGCAUUAGCUAGUUGGUAAGGUAACGGCUUACCAAGGCAACGAUGCGUAGCCGACCUGAGAGGGAGAUCGGCCACACUGGAACUGAGACACGGUCCAGACUCCUACGGGAGGCCGCAGUAGGGAAUCUUACGCAAUGGGCGAAAGCUUGACGGAGCAACGCCGCGUGAGUGAUGAAGGUCUUCGGAUCGUAAAACUCUGUUAUUAGGGAAGAACAAAUGUGUAAGUAACUAUGCACGUCUUGACGGUACCUAAUCAGAAAGCCACGGCUAACUACGUG